AAAGGGCACAUGAGGGAACAAAACCAAACAAAAACAUAACCGUAGGUGGUUGGAGGUGGGAAGGGGAAGACACUGAGAGAAUCCCGUUACAUUCUUUUGGAAUGUUCAGUAAAUAGCUGUGGGAUGUCUACCUAACUUUUCUCCUCAUUCAUCCUACAGAAGCACCUUUCCUACCACUGUGACGUCUCAUCGAGCUGGUUUUUCAAAAGUGUCCUUUCUUGAAAAAUUGACAGAAGACAACAGCGAUGCACUACGAUGGAAUUGGCUGUAUUCAGUGGACGUUUGGUCAUUUUCAGCCAAGAAAUAGUACAUGCACAUUCGUAGACAUAUUGAAACCUUUCAGAGUGGAUAGCCAUUCAAAUGUUGUUUUCUGUUAUAUUAAUUAAUCUUAAUGUCACAGUUGUGAAUCAACCAU
Molecule: long non-coding RNA, 415 nt
Organism: Hippocampus comes (tiger tail seahorse)
Lineage: Eukaryota; Metazoa; Chordata; Actinopteri; Syngnathiformes; Syngnathidae
Exons: 3
Source: RefSeq, a predicted model, not a curated record